Molecule: ribosomal RNA, 406 nt
Filed under: Salmonella enterica
Lineage: Bacteria; Pseudomonadati; Pseudomonadota; Gammaproteobacteria; Enterobacterales; Enterobacteriaceae
Also listed under: 2 other names
Description: partial 23S ribosomal RNA
Rfam family: Bacterial large subunit ribosomal RNA
Source: RNAcentral
GACUCGUCACACUAUCAUUAACUGAAUCCAUAGGUUAAUGAGGCGAACCGGGGGAACUGAAACAUCUAAGUACCCCGAGGAAAAGAAAUCAACCGAGAUUCCCCCAGUAGCGGCGAGCGAACGGGGAGGAGCCCAGAGCCUGAAUCAGCAUGUGUGUUAGUGGAAGCGUCUGGAAAGGCGCGCGAUACAGGGUGACAGCCCCGUACACAAAAGCGCAUGUGCUGUGAGCUCGAUGAGUAGGGCGGGACACGUGGUAUCCUGUCUGAAUAUGGGGGGACCAUCCUCCAAGGCUAAAUACUCCUGACUGACCGAUAGUGAACCAGUACCGUGAGGGAAAGGCGAAAAGAACCCCGGCGAGGGGAGUGAAAAAGAACCUGAAACCGUGUACGUACAAGCAGUGGGAGCA